AUGCAUGGGGGUGUUAAAUUUAUACAUGUAUGAGAUGAUUCAUCAAUCUUAGGAGUAGUUUAGUGUAUGCAAAAGGCUGUUUACCCUUUGUGUGGACAGGAUCAUAUAUAGCCAGGACACAGCUGUUUGGCAGCAAUGCUUGGGUCUGCAAAUUUUAAACCAAGGUGCAUCAAUUGUUAGCCACAGUUAGAUGGUCCAGGUUAUUAUUGUCUGUGUGGAUAUAUAUGCGACAGGCAAACAUCUGUUCUGGAAACUUCAUACUUAAAAGUAACGUAUGAUUUUCUGUUUUUUGUUUUACUGAAAAUAAGCCAGGAAAGGUCUAGAAGCUUCGAUCUAGAUUCCAUUGAAAACGUGGGUACAAUCUAAAUAUUGCAACAGUGGCCUUUGACUAAUAAUAAAAUGACAUGUCAGAUCUUCUGUGAAAGGGUGAGUUGCUUGAGGUAAACAUUCCAAACACUCUGGUUUCAUUAGCCCCCUUCUCAUAAGCAACCCUAAGGAAGCAUAUGUGGAGAGAUGACACUGAGAUAAACACCCCUAGCCAACACGACACGAUAUACAUUUGUUCAUGGAGCCAUCUGGCUUCUCUCAGGGCCAGUCCUGAGAUUUCGAGGGCCCGGUGCGAACAUAGAAGACCGGGCCCUAAUAUAACAUUGAAAUAAUAUCCAAUAUAUGUACAUAUGAAAUUUUGUCAAAAAAAUAGUUACAACGCAUAAAAAAGUGAUACACCCGUUCAAAUAUAUAUAUGAUUCUAAAAAUUUCUUCUAACAUUCCUAAAUGCAAAGUCAUUAAUGAUCGUCUCGAUUUCAAUUUCAUCCAAAUAUUUCUUCUCAAUGCAUAAAGUUGCCAAACCAUUUCCGCGUGUCUUCGACUCUUGGUGCGUGCUUCUGUCCGCACCCCCCAAACAUCGGCCCCCCAAAUUUUGAUUGUCUCACCGAUAGUGGUGGCCCGUGCCCCCGCUAGCCCCCCUGUGAGUAGGAGCAGUCUUGGGACGCCGGCUAAAUUCUUGGGCCGCACCGGCUACUUUUUGAAUUUAGAGGAAUGAGCUGGGUGGGUUUUUCAGUGCCGGCACCCCCAUUUGGUGUUCGGGAGCCUAGGGGGGCUGGCUGGAGAUGCUCUAAAUGACAGAAUUAAGCAACAACUAGAGCUCUGAUGACACAAAGAAACGGAAUGAGAGGAUAGCAAUAUGCCCCCUUCUCCCUAGUCUUUUACUGUCAAAUAAGAGUGGGUAUAACCAGUAGGCUGUAGCCUUAGUGCCUUACACUAUUAUGGAUUUUAUAUUACACACGUGUGUAAAACACAAUGAAUUUACCCUGUUUCUGAAAAAAAAAAUAGAUAUGAAGGGCAAAACGAAUGAGAAGUAUUCUUACCUAGCACACAAUCCCAAUCCUUCUUUUGUGAGACCGGGAUCUUGCCCUUUUCAAAAAAAAAACCCUAUUUUAUUUUAUUUGAGGAAAAAAAAAGCAGGUGUUCUGCUAUUGCAUUAAAAAGGAGUGAGAAAUUGUUGUUUUAGCCUGACAACUCAAGUAACUUGCCGGCAGUUUGGCUGUACAGGAAUAGGGUCUGAGUUGCAACCGCCUCCCUUACGAGACUAAGCUCUUCUCUAAUAAGUGUGGUGACACCUUCCACAGUCAGACUUUGUUGUUCAAAAAAACUCUUCCAUUUCUUUCUUUCAACGCUAAUCAGCAUAAUCCCUAUCUUGAGGUUGUGUGCAUCAAACAAAAAAAAAACAAAAAAAAAGGCCGAGUGAGUUCACUAAUCUAGAGAAAAGCACAUAAGCAUACAAACAUAGAGACCAAUGCAUACAACUUGAAUUAUUUUCUUGCAUGUCUCCUAUAAUGACAAUCAAGGAAAAUAAAAUCAUAAUUAUUCCAGAACCUAAUAUAUAUAUAUCCCCUCCUCUCCCUGAAACCUCUUCCUCUUAACCUUCCAUAUUUAACCCUUCCAUGUUUGAUCUUUGUUCCCUAGACUCAAACAUAGCAUAAGCGUUGCCACAUGACACCAUAAUUACACCUAGACAAACACAACGCUAAUCAGCACAAUCAGAACAUAAUAUAUAUAGCACAUCGGUUAACAUAGUGACAUCUCCGCGAACAAAUCAUAAACUCCGCGGCAAAUCGUAAUCCAACACUAAAUAGAAUCUAGCUAGUAUCAACUCUAUGCAUGGUAAGCAAGGGACUUCUUCUUUAGUAGUCAAACUUUACAACACGUAUCAUGUGCUUGACAAAUGAAGCUAGGUAGAAUCAUUCACACUGUCAUGGCAGGAUGGAGACCAUUAGAUCAUUGAGUGCUCCUUGGUCUCCUAAUGCAAAUGCAAGAGUAUGCAACAAACCCCCAACCAACCUUUGUUUUAGAUCUCAUCUUGGUCUCCUAAUGUAAAUGCAAGGUUGUGUUCUGUCGCUCUAGCAAAAUGAUUAGUGUGACCCAUGCAUCUGUUUAUGUGGCACCAACACUUGCGAGUGGA
Molecule: long non-coding RNA, 2461 nt
Filed under: Brachypodium distachyon (stiff brome)
Lineage: Eukaryota; Viridiplantae; Streptophyta; Magnoliopsida; Poales; Poaceae
Description: long non-coding RNA (BDIS_LNC004809)
Source: RNAcentral